Molecule: unclassified non-coding RNA, 307 nt
Filed under: Hevea brasiliensis (rubber tree)
Lineage: Eukaryota; Viridiplantae; Streptophyta; Magnoliopsida; Malpighiales; Euphorbiaceae
Source: RNAcentral
CUGUAAUCAGCCUCUGGUUGUACACACAUAGCAGCAAUUGCCGCCACCUGAAUAACCUCUUUCAUUGAGUAUUGACUCUCCAAUGCGGGAUCCAUAAUUUGCACGACCUUCUCUCUAUCUGUCAAACAGGGCAGCACCCAAUUCACAAGAACACCUUCCCCAGGAGGUCUCUUCAUAUCUACUGGAACUCUGCCAGUAAGCAACUCCAACAGAACCACCCCAUAACUAUAGACAUCUGAUUUUGUUGUCAAAUGCCCAGUUAAUGCAUACUCAGGGGCAAUAUAUCCCUGGGUGCCCAACACUCGAG